Long non-coding RNA from Anthonomus grandis grandis, 814 nucleotides. RefSeq lists it as uncharacterized. The record is from RefSeq and is a predicted model, not a curated record. NCBI's taxonomy places the organism in Eukaryota, Metazoa, Arthropoda, Insecta, Coleoptera, Curculionidae. The transcript is spliced from 2 exons.
UGUUUUCUAAGUUUACCACAGAUAUAUUGCACAUGUAUCUCCCAUUUUAGAUGCCUAUCAAAGUAGACACCCAAAUAUUUCAUUUCGACCACUGCACUAAUCCGCACACAAUUACAAGUUUUCAUAUUCCUACAAUCAUUGUCGUGAAUUUUAAUAGUCUCAAGGUCAUAAGGUAAUCCUGCUUUUGCCAUGGAGUGACAAAUGAAAUGAGUCUUGUCAAUAUUAAGAGAUAAUAAACUAAAAUCCAGCCAUUUUUUAACCUCAACAAGAGCUUGUUCGGCCUUUUGAAACACUUCAUCCCACGUGCCACCCCCAACCAUGGGAGCUGUAUCAUCAACGUAACAGACAACUUGCACACUUGUUAUUACCGAAAAUAUACUAUCCAUAUAGAGAGUGAACAAUAUUGGACCAAGGACCGUGCCCUGUGGCACACCACACCUCACUGGUAUUUUACUACUGUGAAUCUCGCCUAUCUUAACUUGCUGGUAACGAUUUUCAAGAAAUGAUUUUAAUAAAUUUAAUGGUAUUCCUCUUAUACCUUUAGCUUCUAAGCGUUCCAUCAAGAUGUGGUGCGGCACAGUAUCAAAGGCCUUAGCCAGGUCCAGGAAGAUUGUCAUACAUUUUGUAUUGGUGUUAAAAGCAUUUAUUAUGUCAUCAGCUACCCUGACUAAAGCAUCCUCAGUUCCCAUUCCCGUCUUAAAACCAUAUUGAUUUGCAUUAAGGUAAACUCCAGACCCAAAGAUAGUAUUUACCAGAUGUAAAAGAGGCACUAUCAAGUAUCUGUUAUAAUUCUUAAUAAAAUUAUUAGAUAUGC